CACAAAGAACAUCAACUCUUAAGUGUGAGGAUUGAACCCACAAAUAUUGUCAUUAUUAGCACCAUGUUCUAAUCAGCUGAGCUAAUCUCAGGGUCUUUCUUCCAUACAUUUAUUUUUAAAGCAAACACUGGGAAUUCUAGCUAAUGUGCCAAUUUACCCUUUCUCUUUAAUUUAAUUUAAUUUAAUUUCAUUUCAUUAAAUUGUUUCAUUUUUUAGGUCUUUCCUCCUCUUUUUGCUAGACCAGAUCAAGAGGUUAAGCAGACCCUUAUACAUAUGCUGAAACUGAAAGACAAUCAUGUGGCAUUUGGUACUUCUUGAGAGCUGAGUUUGACUGUAUGCCCAAGACUACCCAGGCAGCAUGGGUGAAAGUGGAAAUCUGGACACAGAGAAGGAAACAUGAAGUGGACAUUUGAACAUUCUGUCAUCAGAGGAUGGACUGGAAAUACUCCAGUGCCUGCUGCGGCUGUGAAAAGGGAAACCCUAUGAGAAGGAUAAAGAAAGAAAUGAGACCCAGGACAUUCUUGCCACUGUGGUGCUGAGGAGGGAGUUUAGCAUGGAGAUGGAA
This 565-nucleotide long non-coding RNA is filed under the name Cyanistes caeruleus (blue tit). Its description in RNAcentral is "lncRNA (ENSCCEG00000015076.1)". Lineage: Eukaryota; Metazoa; Chordata; Aves; Passeriformes; Paridae. The record is from RNAcentral.